Molecule: non-coding RNA, 387 nt
Organism: Macaca mulatta (Rhesus monkey)
Lineage: Eukaryota; Metazoa; Chordata; Mammalia; Primates; Cercopithecidae
Source: RefSeq, a predicted model, not a curated record
UAAAGGAAACUGGAAGGGUCUCUGACCUUCUCCACCUUCCUGUCUCCCGACCCUACUUCUCCCAUGAAAUGAGUCAUAGUAACCAGAAUUCUUCUUCCCCAAGGACUUCCAGCUGUGUUCCUUCAGAUGGGUGAGAAAAGUCUGUAAAAAUUGAAAACCAGCUAUUUCUUAGAAAAAACUUCUGUCCCUCAGACUAAAAAGAGAACAUUUUGAAUGACUACAGCCAAUUCCAGUAUCAAGCCUCAUGAAAAAGAAACAGAGUAUAUACUUCAGAUUCUCCAUGGUCCUUUCUCCAGCUCAGGUGAAGUAAAGGAUCUAAAUGCAACCAGGUAUUAAAGUCAGAAGAAACAAAAGGUUCUUCCACUUCACAACCACCCAAAUAACAAA